RNAcentral lists this non-coding RNA (29 nucleotides) under Mus musculus (house mouse). The record is from RNAcentral. Lineage: Eukaryota; Metazoa; Chordata; Mammalia; Rodentia; Muridae.
UAGGUGAGAGUUUAAAUGUCAAGGCCUUA